GACGAACGCUGGCGGCGUGCUUAACACAUGCAAGUCGAACGGAAAGGCCCUGCUUUUGUGGGGUGCUCGGGUGGCGAACGGGUGAGUAACACGUGAGUAACCUGCCCUUGACUUUGGGAUAACUUCAGGAAACUGGGGCUAAUACCGGAUAGGAGCUCCUGCUGCAUGGUGGGGGUUGGAAAGUUUCGGCGGUUGGGGAUGGACUCGCGGCUUAUCAGCUUGUUGGUGGGGUAGUGGCUUACCAAGGCUUUGACGGGUAGCCGGCCUGAGAGGGUGACCGGCCACAUUGGGACUGAGAUACGGCCCAGACUCCUACGGGAGGCAGCAGUGGGGAAUAUUGCACAAUGGGCGGAAGCCUGAUGCAGCAACGCCGCGUGCGGGAUGACGGCCUUCGGGUUGUAAACCGCUUUCGCCUGUGACGAAGCGUGAGUGACGGUAACGGGUAAAGAAGCACCGGCUAACUACGUG
Molecule: ribosomal RNA, 468 nt
Filed under: uncultured bacterium
Lineage: Bacteria
Description: partial 16S ribosomal RNA
Rfam family: Bacterial small subunit ribosomal RNA
Source: RNAcentral